Molecule: unclassified non-coding RNA, 171 nt
Filed under: uncultured Mytilinidion
Lineage: Eukaryota; Fungi; Ascomycota; Dothideomycetes; Mytilinidiales; Mytilinidiaceae
Description: sequence contains ITS2
Source: RNAcentral
CUACCAUUCAAGCUUUUUGCUUGGUUUUGGGUAUUGUAGCCCUCUUAACUUAGUUUAGGGGUUUACAUAUCUUAAAUAUAGACGGCAGCAAGUAUAAGUUCUGAGCGUAGCAGUAAUAACAUUUCGCUUUUAGAAACUUUUAUAUUUGUUAACCCGAAAAGUAUAUUUACA